Molecule: ribosomal RNA, 651 nt
Filed under: Stenotrophomonas maltophilia
Lineage: Bacteria; Pseudomonadati; Pseudomonadota; Gammaproteobacteria; Lysobacterales; Lysobacteraceae
Description: bacterial SSU rRNA
Rfam family: Bacterial small subunit ribosomal RNA
Source: RNAcentral
GGUAGGCCUAACACAUGCAAGUCGAACGGCAGCACAGGAGAGCUUGCUCUCUGGGUGGCGAGUGGCGGACGGGUGAGGAAUACAUCGGAAUCUACUUUUUCGUGGGGGAUAACGUAGGGAAACUUACGCUAAUACCGCAUACGACCUACGGGUGAAAGCAGGGGAUCUUCGGACCUUGCGCGAUUGAAUGAGCCGAUGUCGGAUUAGCUAGUUGGCGGGGUAAAGGCCCACCAAGGCGACGAUCCGUAGCUGGUCUGAGAGGAUGAUCAGCCACACUGGAACUGAGACACGGUCCAGACUCCUACGGGAGGCAGCAGUGGGGAAUAUUGGACAAUGGGCGCAAGCCUGAUCCAGCCAUACCGCGUGGGUGAAGAAGGCCUUCGGGUUGUAAAGCCCUUUUGUUGGGAAAGAAAUCCAGCUGGCUAAUACCCGGUUGGGAUGACGGUACCCAAAGAAUAAGCACCGGCUAACUUCGUGCCAGCAGCCGCGGUAAUACGAAGGGUGCAAGCGUUACUCGGAAUUACUGGGCGUAAAGCGUGCGUAGGUGGUCGUUUAAGUCCCUUGUGAAAGCCCCUGGGCUCAACCUGGCAACUGCACCGGAUACUGGGCGACUACAGUGUGGUAUAGGGUACCGGAAUUCUUGGUGCACCA